This is a long non-coding RNA of Drosophila mojavensis, 1514 nucleotides long. RefSeq lists it as uncharacterized. The record is from RefSeq and is a predicted model, not a curated record. The transcript is spliced from 2 exons. NCBI's taxonomy places the organism in Eukaryota, Metazoa, Arthropoda, Insecta, Diptera, Drosophilidae.
CGAAUCGGCGAUAAGGCUGGCGGCGUAUUUCAGCGCUCGGAAGUCGGCACAGUCGGCAGGUCGAUAAAACGUCACACACAUUUGGCACACGUAUCGAACGGCAACGAUGACUUUGACAUUCCCUGCCCGAUAAUGGGCAACUUGAUUAGCCAGGCCCAAUUGCAGCAGCAGCAGCGAGCGGAUAGCACAGACAGCAUCGAGCGCCAUAAAUUCAAAACGCACUGCAUGGAGACAAAUUUUGAAAAUAAUUUGACUUGUUGUUGUUGCUGUUGUUGUUGUGGGUUUUUGGCAAAAGGAACGCCACCAUAAAGAUAAACUCUAACAUGCUUUAUACAUCAUUAAACAUUCCUGCACAGCCGCCAAUUUGGCUUUUUAUUGGCUGCCCCAGACGCGAGUUUCUGCUCGUCGCCGGCUGAGGCAACGAGACGGCAUGAGCUGGAAUCAGCUGAAACGAGAUGGGCCACUGAUGCCUGCCUGGGCUAGGGAACGCGAGCUUUCGGUGAUUUAUAUUUGACAGAGCUGCGGUAUUUGAUUCUGAUUCGAGUUUGAGUUCGUGUUCUUUUUUUUUUUUCUUUUUUUCUUUUUUGUGGGGUUCGUGUUGCUUUAUGUUUGUGGCUCUGGCUGUGGCUGUGCUUUUUAUAUGCACCCACUUUUAUCGUUAAAGUGGCGUGCCACAGCUACACGAGACUCGAUAAAUGUCACUGAUAUUUAAUUAAGUCUGGUUCGCAUAUGGAAGGCGCUUAAAUAAAUGUUAUGGCCAGCGGGCAUAUACCCGCACCUGUUUAAAAUUAAGGGGUAUAUUAGCUUCAUUGCACGAAGUUAUAUAUAUGUUAUAUAUAUGCAUAAAUAUGCACAAGUAUUAAUACCAUUUAUGUUUACAAAAGUAAAUAAAUUGAAGAGAAGUUCUAAUUCGAAUAUGGAAGAACGCAUAUAUGUAGUCUACAUCCUUAAUAGUUUCACAUGCUUCAAGUACAUACAAUAUAUGGUCAAGCAGACUGCUUUUUUUCUACCCUUCUACCUUUACUCUCAGUUAACUUGACAGACAAUGAAAUGAAAUGGAAACGUAAAAGAGUGUAUUCACAAAGCGUUUUUAACUGCAUUUCAACGAUGAGAUGAGUGGAUUCGCAACGUCAGAGGGCGCCACACGUUGGUAUUGUUAACCCCCAUUAAAUUGGCCAAGCGGCCAUUUGGCGAGAUGUGUGAAGGUGGCUGCUCGAUGACUGCUCGCAUUCCAAGCGCUGACUCAACGCCCAUAAACCCCGUAAUUUACAACGUUUGGCGAACUGGCCAGGGCACGCCGAAUGGAGAGUAUCUGAAGAAUCUGCGCUACCGCUGCACGCGCCAUAAAUAUGUGUUAAGUAGGGGCAGCCGCAUAACUUAUAUCGAAAACUUGUGUUCAUAACAAUUUAAUUUUGCUUUUGUUUCAACUGGAGCUGAAAUCGCGCGUGAAGAACGAAUCGUUGCCAUAGCCACAAAAAAAAAAAAAAAAUAUUAAAAAAACAAAAAAAAAAAAC